UACGUAGGGGGCUAGCGUUGUCCGGAUUUAUUGGGCGUAAAGAGCGUGUAGGCGGCCAGGUAGGUCUGCUGUGAAAACUCGAGGCUCAACCUCGAGACGUCGGCGGAAACCAUCUGGCUAGAGUCCGGAAGAGGAGAGUGGAAUUCCUGGUGUAGCGGUGAAAUGCGCAGAUAUCAGGAAGAACACCCGUGGCGAAGGCGGCUCUCUGGGCUCCACCUGACGCUGAGGAGCGAAAGCAUGGGGAGCGAACAGG
This 253-nucleotide ribosomal RNA is filed under the name uncultured bacterium. RNAcentral's name for it is "partial 16S ribosomal RNA". It matches the Rfam family "Bacterial small subunit ribosomal RNA", at positions 524 to 776 of the family's 1533-position model. The record is from RNAcentral.